RNAcentral lists this ribosomal RNA (118 nucleotides) under Danio rerio (zebrafish). Lineage: Eukaryota; Metazoa; Chordata; Actinopteri; Cypriniformes; Danionidae. The record is from RNAcentral.
AGCCACAGCUACAUGACUCUGCAGCCCAAGACAGGUCACUCACUGAAGCUAAGCAGGGCUGAGCCUGGUUAUUACCUGGAUAAGAGACCGCAUGGGGAAAACUAGGUUGCUGUUGGAA